CGAAGUCAACUUCUCUUCGAGAGCAAGCAUUGCAGCUUCAUUGACCUAAAAUUAUUGGAAAUGAAAUUGAGAGAGAGUUGAUGUGAUUGUCAACCUGAUGAUGCUAAAUGGUAAUGAUAAAAGGAAAGAAGCAUAAUGAAA
Long non-coding RNA from Rhodamnia argentea, 141 nucleotides. RefSeq lists it as uncharacterized. The record is from RefSeq and is a predicted model, not a curated record. The transcript has 2 exons. Lineage: Eukaryota; Viridiplantae; Streptophyta; Magnoliopsida; Myrtales; Myrtaceae.